This is a long non-coding RNA of Zingiber officinale, 2136 nucleotides long. RefSeq lists it as uncharacterized. The record is from RefSeq and is a predicted model, not a curated record. Lineage: Eukaryota; Viridiplantae; Streptophyta; Magnoliopsida; Zingiberales; Zingiberaceae. The transcript is spliced from 2 exons.
UCGAGGUUUAGAAACUCGUACUCGUAAUAUUUUCGAAAUUUUAUUCUUCGCACCGAUCCGGUGGCGGGUUUCGGGGUUUCCGCGACGCGAAAAAGCGGUUUUCGCGGCCCGAAAAACCCAACACUAAUGCAGAAACCCCUGCUGAUGUAGUAAAAGAGAUAAAUUUAUGCGAUGAAGAGGUCGACACGUCUAAUGCAGAAAUAUUUGCUGAAUGUUACAAAGGUGAGGAAUCUAAUGAUGCCAACCAAGCAAUAAGGAAAUCUGAGACUCUGGAUUCAUCAAUUUGUCCAUCAAACAAGAAGCCAACCACUAAAAAGAGAAAAGGAAAGGCUGAUGAUGCUUUAGAUGACUUGGUGGGAGAGAUUCACAAGUAUGUUAUUGCUGUUACUGAGGCUAAUGAGGAGAUGAAGGGAAUUUCCACAUACUUCAAGAAACAAACCGAGAGUGGUGAUAGGAAAAUGAAGAUAUAUGAUGAGCUAAUAGAACUUUCUAAAUUCUCUGAGCAAGAAAUUAUGAAUGUCGGAGAGCAUAUUCUCAAGGAUGAACACAAGAUUGACAAUUUCUUUGCAUUGCCAAAGACAUUUACGAGAACUUAUGUGAUAAAGUAGCUCAAUGAGAUCCAUCCAAAAUGAAUUAAAUAUUUGAAUUAGGUUCUUGAUACUUAUGUUUUGAUAUACUUUGGAUUGAACUUGAAUGUAUCUUUUUGUUUAGAUUGAACUUGGAUAUAUCUUUUUGUUUGGAUUGAACUUGGAUGAUUAGGUUCUUGUUCUUGUUUGGAUUUAUUUGUACCUCCGGGGGCAAUUCUGUGAAAAUUAUUUGAUUACGAGGUAAUUUUUUUUUACAAAAAGAUAGGAGGAGAAAUCAAUAAGAUUGUGCUUAUACAUUAUAAUCUGGUCUUCUUGCAAAACAUUUGUUUCUGUUAUCCAAUUCAUUCUUUUAUCUUGUAUGAAUAAUCUUCUUGGACAUCAUUUUAAAGUUUGUAUCCUGUAAAUAUGGUAUUUAUUGCAGUAGGUGCUAUGACAUUCGAAUGAUUUAACUUAUUACUUUGAACCAAUAAGUUUAUGGUUCUCUGUUAACCUGCAUAGUUCCUAACAGUUACUCAUUUAUAUCAUAUACUAAUCAAUUCUAAGCUGCACUGCCCUUUCUAGAUACGGUGAAAAUAUUUUGGAAACAAGCAAGAAUCCGAAUUGGAUUGUUACAAGUUGAUGGUUGUUGGUGAUCUCAUACUUCAUACGUAAGUUUGUAUAUGCUCUUACUUCUAUGCAUAUUUUACAAAUUAGGAUUUUGUUGUUGCUGCUUCAAUGGAACCCAUCACCUUCUCCACUAGAUUGAGCACCAUGAUCUCCACAAACAGCCUAUGGAAUUACUGUGGGAUGAUCUCUAGUUCUCUACACAUAUGUUGUAUUGGACCUGUGCCGCAUUUCAAUUUGGGCUUGGAUACAUAUACGCAUUUCAACUCGUGCCGCCUUUUCAGAGACGUUGCUAAUUUGAACCUCUUCUAAAUUUUUUGAUGACCUUAGUGAGGGAAAAAGGCUAAUCAUUUCAUGAUUUUUGCAUAAACAAUUAACCAAAACGUCCUAAAUUUGCAUGUAAUAACAGGUAUUCUAUGUUUUUAUUUUCUAAACAACAUGAGGAAUUGGUUGGAAUAUAUGCCUCUCAGCUUGCCCGUCACCUUUGUGUGGAUCUCUUUGUCCAAAUGAUGGAGCUCAGAUUAAAUAGCAGGAAUACUUUUCUAUUGAAGUUGGGGUAAUUAGCUCAGAUGAGCACAGUGCAAAGAAUGUUGCGGCUAAGAAGGUAAACAAAUCGCUUGAAGAUGUAAAUCCUGCCAUUGACAGCAUUGCGAGCAGAUUAAGAAAGCGGAACAUUGGAUGAAACAUGUUUUUCAAACUGCUUCAGUAUCUUGUAGACGUUAUUGCACAACUAGGAAAUCAGAUAUUUGAGACAGAUGUUUCGAUGAUUGGCUAAUUUUGUGGCUUUUGAAGUUACACUUGCAGUGCCAAUUCUGGAAGCAUUUCCAGUUCCCUAUUUAAAUAGAAUUGUCUGUCAAAGUUUAGGCAGAGAGUGAAUUGUACUGUUGUCAUAUUUGCCGUCAUUGCACAUUUUAGUAUCAUCAUGAAUUUGUAAUAGUUCUAAAUA